This is a long non-coding RNA of Artibeus jamaicensis (Jamaican fruit-eating bat), 636 nucleotides long. RefSeq lists it as uncharacterized. The transcript has 2 exons. The record is from RefSeq and is a predicted model, not a curated record. NCBI's taxonomy places the organism in Eukaryota, Metazoa, Chordata, Mammalia, Chiroptera, Phyllostomidae.
CCGGGCACCUGAGCAGGAAACCUUCCGGCGGCCGCGGCCCGAGCCCCGCCGCCGCCCGCGGUCCCGUUGGCCCCUCCGCUGCUGCUGGAAGAAGUUCAGCAAUGCUGAUAAUAAAAGAACAGUGAAAACAAAAGAACCAGGAAUGCAAUAGAAGCCAACUUGAGCUGAAUUAGCCCUUCUGCAUCCGUCACUCCAACCCUGGAGGAAGAGUAGAGUUGGAAACGCUAAGGACAAUCCAGCCUGACCUUCAGUUGCCGGGUAAAAACUGUGGUGCAGAGAAAGCGGACCCGAUGUAGGAGACCUAUCUGGUUAUAGUCUGGGACCCAAACUAAAUAACUGGAGUGGGCAAAAUUAUUUUACCUUUUUUGACUUUAGUUUCCUUCCUGGGACGUUUGUAUUAAAUUUCUAGGGUGUGUGCAGGUUUAAAAUCUGAUAAUUUCUCUAAGAUGGACUUUAAAGUAUCAGCCUAUUCCUGUGACUUAGUAUUUUGGUAGCAGACCAUGCUCUGGUCUGUAUGUCCGGUGGCCAGCCUGCUCCAGACCCUCGCAUUUUGAAAAUGCCUAAGUGCUGUAUAUAAAAAAAUAAUAGCAGCUGGUGUUUUUUGUACAAACUACAGAAAUAAAUACUUUGUCUUUA